CUCCCGACAAUUAUUUUCAUCUUCCCAAUCCCUAUCAUGGUGACUUCUACCAAAGCUUCUUGUAGAACGCAGUUGACCAGAACCAUUGCUAUUAGAACUCCGGUGAAAAUAGGCAGAAGUGGUUCUUUCCAGAACUGAUAAUCGGCAUGUAUCACGAUCACUAGUGCUUAUAGAUGACUUGUUCCCUGCAUGCUUUGAUUCAAGAUGAUCAUCAUGAUUACCAGUUUGCAACGAUGCUGAUGCAGAUAGGUGGUUUGCACUGCCAUAAGUAGGGACACUUCCGCCACUUUUCAACCAUUCUGGCACUAAAGCAUGCUUACUCCUAUCCAUGACAGUAACCAAACAUGAUCAUAUGAAAGAACCCCCAAAAAAAACAACCUGUCUUGUUAAGCUCCUCAAUCCACCCACAAAAGAGGCAUUGCACUAUUUUUAUCUACAAAACCAACAGAAUCUGACUUUAAUUCACUUUCCUCGCCUUGAAUCCUCCCUUUACAAUCGAUUCACAUAAAGCAUCCAAUCACCACUUGUGCCGAAACAAAAUUUCCUAAGGCCAAUAUGUGUCAAAUUUCACAUCAAUUAACUUUUAUUUUCACUUUACUAUUUACUAUUUUCACCAACCAAGAUUUGCAAACCCCAAUUCUUGAAAACUGCUCUAUACACUGUAAUUAGAGUUGUGCAAGUUUCUCUCUGUACACUAUAUACUUCAAGUCACCAAACACUCAAGUCAACAACCAAUUUCACCAAUCAAUAAAUUUAAUAAAACUUUAUCACACUCUCAGAGAAUUCUCACCACGCAAUUUCUAUUGAAAAGUACUUCUCAUAAAAAGCAAUUCAUGUUUCUUUUUUGCCUAAAGAAGGCUUGUUAUGUUAAGAAGACCCUC
RNAcentral lists this unclassified non-coding RNA (881 nucleotides) under Hevea brasiliensis (rubber tree). Lineage: Eukaryota; Viridiplantae; Streptophyta; Magnoliopsida; Malpighiales; Euphorbiaceae. The record is from RNAcentral.